AAGGGGAUGUUUGCUGUCAUGCACGGACUGGUCUCUUGAAGGGGAUGCUGGAACUCAGAAGCACCUCUCUGGUGAACAGGCAGGUCCCACUCCAACUUCUUCAGCAGUCACUUCAGUCAGUUUUUUUUCAUCACUUGUCAUUUUCCAGCUUUGAAUACAUCCCGUGGCUGUUCCACGUUCCCAGGAAAGGAGCACAGCUGGGCAGU
This is a long non-coding RNA of Melospiza melodia melodia, 206 nucleotides long. RefSeq lists it as uncharacterized. The record is from RefSeq and is a predicted model, not a curated record. The transcript is spliced from 3 exons. NCBI's taxonomy places the organism in Eukaryota, Metazoa, Chordata, Aves, Passeriformes, Passerellidae.